CCGGGUUGCGGACAGUGUCUGGUGGGUAGUUUGACUGGGGCGGUCUCCUCCUAAAGAGUAACGGAGGAGCACGAAGGUUAGCUAAUCCUGGUCGGACAUCAGGAGGUUAGUGCAAAGGCAUAAGCUAGCUUGACUGCGAGAGUGACGGCUCGAGCAGGUGCGAAAGCAGGUCUUAGUGAUCCGGUGGUUCUGAAUGGAAGGGCCAUCGCUCAACGGAUAAAAGGUACUCCGGGGAUAACAGGCUGAUACCGCCCAAGAGUUCAUAUCGACGGCGGUGUUUGGCACCUCGAUGUCGGCUCAUCACAUCCUGGGGCUGAAGUAGGUCCCAAGGGUAUGGCUGUUCGCCAUUUAAAGUGGUACGCGAGCUGGGUUUAGAACGUCGUGAGACAGUUCGGUCCCUAUCUGCCGUGGGCGCUGGAGAAUUGAGGGGGGCUGCUCCUAGUACGAGAGGACCGGAGUGGACGCAUCACUGGUGUUCGGGUUGUCAUGCCAAUGGCAUUGCCCGGUAGCUAAAUGCGGAAGAGAUAAGUGCUGAAAGCAUCUAAGCACGAAACUUGCCCCGAGAUGAGUUCUCCCUGAGACUUAAAGUCUCCUGAAGGAACGUUAAAGACGAUGACGUUGAUAGGUCGGGUGUGUAAGUGUAGCGAUACAUUGAGCUAACCGAUACUAAUGAACCGUGAGGCUUAACCUU
Molecule: ribosomal RNA, 691 nt
Filed under: Citrobacter freundii
Lineage: Bacteria; Pseudomonadati; Pseudomonadota; Gammaproteobacteria; Enterobacterales; Enterobacteriaceae
Also listed under: 6 other names
Description: partial 23S ribosomal RNA
Rfam family: Bacterial large subunit ribosomal RNA
Source: RNAcentral